Molecule: ribosomal RNA, 399 nt
Filed under: Liposcelis bostrychophila
Lineage: Eukaryota; Metazoa; Arthropoda; Insecta; Psocodea; Liposcelididae
Description: partial 12S ribosomal RNA
Source: RNAcentral
UAAACUAGGAUUAGAUACCCCACUAUAAAUCGAAAAUUAUCAUCCUUUGGCGACACAACAAAAAUUUAUGGCGGCUCUUAUUCAUAUUAGAGGCUUAUGAGCCUAAAAGAUGAUCCCCUAAAAUCUUACUUUAGUUUGUUUAUACAUUUUUUAUAUCGCCGUUUAAAGAAAGUUUUUUAAAUUACUUUCUUCAUAAUCAAUUACUCCUAAAAACAGGUAAAGAUGAAGAUUACACUAAAGGAAACUUGUAAGCCAUUAAAUUAAAUGUUAAUAAUUAUUAAGAUAUAAAAAGAAUUUAAAAGUAAAAUUUUUUUAUUAUAAAAAUUUGAAGAAUGUUAAUAAGAGUGUACAAACCGCCCGUCACUUCUAGUUCCUAUAGAAUAAGUCGUAACAUAGUAA